This 465-nucleotide ribosomal RNA is filed under the name uncultured bacterium. Its description in RNAcentral is "partial 16S ribosomal RNA". It matches the Rfam family "Bacterial small subunit ribosomal RNA", at positions 28 to 507 of the family's 1533-position model. The record is from RNAcentral.
GACGAACGCUGGCGGCGUGCUUAACACAUGCAAGUCGUACGGUAAGGCCCUUUCGGGGGUACACGAGUGGCGAACGGGUGAGUAACACGUGAGUAACCUGCCCACAACUUUGGGAUAACGCUAGGAAACUGGUGCUAAUACUGGAUAUGUGCUCCUGCUGCAUGGUGGGGGUUGGAAAGCUCCGGCGGUUGUGGAUGGACUCGCGGCCUAUCAGCUUGUUGGUGGGGUAGUGGCAUACCAAGGCGGCGACGGGUAGCCGGCCUGAGAGGGUGACCAGCCACAUUGGGACUGAGAUACGGCCCAGACUCCUACGGGAGGCAGCAGUGGGGAAUAUUGCCCAAUGGGCGCAAGCCUGAUGCAGCAACGCCGCGUGCGGGAUGACGGCCUUCGGGUUGUAAACCGCUUUCAGCAGGGACGAAGCUUUUUGUGACGGUACCUGCAGAAGAAGCACCGGCUAACUACGUG